GACGAACGCUGGCGGCGUGCUUAACACAUGCAAGUCGAACGGAAAGGCCCUGCUUUUGUGGGGUGCUCGAGUGGCGAACGGGUGAGUAACACGUGAGUAACCUGCUCUUGACUUUGGGAUAACUUCAGGAAACUGGGGCUAAUACCGGAUAGGAGCUCCUGCUGCAUGGUGGGGGUUGGAAAGUUUCGGCGGUUGGGGAUGGACUCGCGGCUUAUCAGCUUGUUGGUGGGGUAGUGGCUUACCAAGGCUUUGACGGGUAGCCGGCCUGAGAGGGUGACCGGCCACAUGGGGACUGAGAGACGGCCCAGACUCCUACGGGAGGCAGCAGUGGGGAAUAUUGCACAAUGAGCGGAAGCCUGAUGCAGCAACGCCGCGUGCGGGAUGACGGCCUUCGGGUUGUAAACCGCUUUCGCCUGUGACGAAGCGUGAGUGACGGUAAUGGGUAAAGAAGCACCGGCUAACUACGUG
Molecule: ribosomal RNA, 468 nt
Filed under: uncultured bacterium
Lineage: Bacteria
Description: partial 16S ribosomal RNA
Rfam family: Bacterial small subunit ribosomal RNA
Source: RNAcentral